Molecule: ribosomal RNA, 253 nt
Filed under: uncultured bacterium
Lineage: Bacteria
Description: partial 16S ribosomal RNA
Rfam family: Bacterial small subunit ribosomal RNA
Source: RNAcentral
UACAGAGGGUGCGAGCGUUAAUCGGAAUUACUGGGCGUAAAGCGCACGUAGGUGGCGACGUAAGUCGGGUGUGAAAGCCCCGGGCUCAACCUGGGAAUUGCAUUCGAGACUGCAUUGCUGGAGUACGGAAGAGGAGGGCGGAAUUCCCGGUGUAGCGGUGAAAUGCGUAGAUAUCGGGAGGAACAUCAGUGGCGAAGGCGGCUCACUGGCCCGGUACUGACGCUGAGGCGCGAAAGCGUGGGGAGCAAACAGG